Long non-coding RNA from Anas platyrhynchos (mallard), 762 nucleotides. RefSeq lists it as uncharacterized. The record is from RefSeq and is a predicted model, not a curated record. NCBI's taxonomy places the organism in Eukaryota, Metazoa, Chordata, Aves, Anseriformes, Anatidae.
AACACAGGACUGCAAAUUUCCAGCAGAGCCCUCCUGGGUUAUUUCACAGUCCUAUGCAUCGGGAUUUCAGCGGCAGAGGAGGAGGAGGAGGACAACCAUCUGCAACCCCCACAAGCACCGGGCGGCUUUCGAUCCCCAACCCUGAACAAAAUGUUACAGAUGCAGCAUAAAGAGAAGAAAUCAAGCAAAUGGAAAAGGGACAAAAGGAAUAGCGGCAAGCCACAAGGGUAUCUGCAAAGAGAAAUAAUUUCAUCCAAAAGGCUCCGCAGCUCCAAUGGAGGUGUUCACUUGCCUGUUUUACAUCCCGGUGUUGCCGUUUACGUUUCCAGGCACAUCAACCUCUGGAAGCUGUGAUCCGGCAUCAGCUCCUUUCCAUACUCUGCGAAGUGCCACCAGCUCCAGCAUCAGGAGCAGGGGUUUGGCAGAGUCAUUAGAGAAGACAGGUAGGUAUGAAAGCCAUUCAGGCAAGAAAGGAUCCCGAGAGUUGGAAUAAUUGCAUUAUUAACUACAAGUCUGACUGCCUGUUCCCGCUCCCAUUGAUGUCAGUAAGGAAUUUUACUGUGACCUUCAGGGAAAAUAGGAUCAGGCUCAUUUUUGGGAUGAGCAGAUCAAAACCUGGUACAAAAUGCUUGGACACAUGAUUGCACUGGGACUUGAAUCUUGUUUUUUUCCUGAUGUUCCCAUGCAAGGAUGUCCAAGAGAUUAGAUUAAAAGAAAAGAUUUUAAGGUCCCCCUGACAAAAGAAAUAAAAUGGAGAAAGCC